This 301-nucleotide ribosomal RNA is filed under the name uncultured bacterium. Its description in RNAcentral is "partial 16S ribosomal RNA". It matches the Rfam family "Bacterial small subunit ribosomal RNA", at positions 509 to 809 of the family's 1533-position model. The record is from RNAcentral.
CAGUAGCCGCGGUAAUACGUAGGGUGCGAGCGUUAAUCGGAAUUACUGGGCGUAAAGCGUGCGCAGGCGGUUGUGUAAGACAGGUGUGAAAUCCCCGGGCUUAACCUGGGAACUGCGCUUGUGACUGCACAGCUAGAGUAUGGCAGAGGGGGGUGGAAUUCCACGUGUAGCAGUGAAAUGCGUAGAGAUGUGGAGGAACACCGAUGGCGAAGGCAGCCCCCUGGGCCAAUACUGACGCUCAUGCACGAAAGCGUGGGGAGCAAACAGGAUUAGAUACCCCCGUAGUCCCUGUCUCUUAUAU